AUGUCAAGUAUAUGUUCGUAUGACCACGAGAUCAUGCAACUCAUUGACACCGGAGGAGUACCUUGUGUCCUUCCUCCACCGAAAUUGCCGUGCAGACGACAGUACACACACGACAUGCACCCAACACUUAUAUCAAACGGUGGAGUAGUGCUGCUGCAUGCAUCAGAUGGCAUGAACUUCCGCAUCAUUCAGAAAUCGUCUAUGUACUAUCGUGUGUAUAGCAGGGUUCUUCCUCCACACUAUCUUCGUCCAUAUUUAAUAGUCCCUUCCCAGGUUGAAUGGAAGGAAACUAAUAAAAGAUAA
This 303-nucleotide ribosomal RNA is filed under the name Triticum aestivum (bread wheat). RNAcentral's name for it is "partial small subunit ribosomal RNA". The record is from RNAcentral. Lineage: Eukaryota; Viridiplantae; Streptophyta; Magnoliopsida; Poales; Poaceae.